RNAcentral lists this ribosomal RNA (205 nucleotides) under uncultured bacterium. Its description in RNAcentral is "partial 16S ribosomal RNA". It matches the Rfam family "Bacterial small subunit ribosomal RNA", at positions 1287 to 1500 of the family's 1533-position model. The record is from RNAcentral.
CUCAGUUCGGAUCGCAGUCUGCAGCUCGACUGCGUGAAGCUGGAAUCGCUAGUAAUCGCGCAUCAGCCAUGGCGCGGUGAAUACGUUCCCGGGCCUUGUACACACCGCCCGUCAAGCCAUGGAAGUCUGGGGACCUGAAGACGGUAACCGCAAGGAGCCGUUAAGGGUAAAACAGGUAACUAGGGCUAAGUCGUAACAAGGUAGC